This 507-nucleotide ribosomal RNA is filed under the name uncultured bacterium. Its description in RNAcentral is "bacterial SSU rRNA". It matches the Rfam family "Bacterial small subunit ribosomal RNA", at positions 355 to 882 of the family's 1533-position model. The record is from RNAcentral.
UGGGGAAUCUUGGACAAUGGGCGCAAGCCUGAUCCAGCCAUGCCGCGUGAGUGAAGAAGGCCUUAGGGUCGUAAAGCUCUUUCACCAGGGAUGAUAAUGACUGUAUCAGGUAAAGAAACCCCGGCUAACUCCGUGCCAGCAGCCGCGGUAAUACGGAGGGGGUUAGCGUUGUUCGGAAUUUCUGGGCGUAAAGCGCGCGUAGGCGGAUUAAAAAGUUGGGGGUGAAAUCCCGGGGCUCAACCCUGGAACUGCCUCCAAAACUGCCAGUCUAGAGUUCGAGAGAGGUGAGGGGAAUUCCGAGUGUAGAGGUGAAAUUCGUAGAUAUUGGGAAGAACACCAGGGGCGAAGGCGGCUCACUGGCUCGAUACUGACGCUGAGGUGCGAAAGUGUGGGGAGCAAACAGGAUUAGAUCCCCUGGUAGUCCACCCCGUAAACGAUGAAUGCCAGUCGUCGGGAAGUAUACUAUUCGGUGACGCAGCUAACGCAUAAGCAUCCGCCUGGAGACGA